RNAcentral lists this ribosomal RNA (326 nucleotides) under uncultured eukaryote. RNAcentral's name for it is "partial 18S ribosomal RNA". It matches the Rfam family "Eukaryotic small subunit ribosomal RNA", at positions 1470 to 1796 of the family's 1831-position model. The record is from RNAcentral.
CCCCUAGAUGUUCUGGGCCGCACGCGCGCUACACUGAUCAGUGCAACAAGCAUCCGUCCUUGGCCGACAGGCCCGGGCAAUCUUUGAACGCUGAUCGUGAUGGGGAUAGACUUUUGCAAUUUUUGGUCUUCAACGAGGAAUUCCUAGUAAACGCAAGUCAUCAACUUGCAUUGAUUACGUCCCUGCCCUUUGUACACAUCGCCCGUCGCUCCUACCGAUUGAGUGAUCCGGUGAAUAAUUCGGACUGCAGCAGUGCUUGGUCCUCCGGGCUUUGCAGCGGAAAGUUUAGUGAACCUUAUCACUUAGAGGAAGGAGAAGUCGUANCA